Myotis davidii is the source of this 219-nucleotide long non-coding RNA. RefSeq lists it as uncharacterized. The record is from RefSeq and is a predicted model, not a curated record. The transcript has 3 exons. Lineage: Eukaryota; Metazoa; Chordata; Mammalia; Chiroptera; Vespertilionidae.
CAGUUAUAAAAUAAGUACUACUCUAUAAUAUUUAAUAUCAUUUUGGUUAACUGUUAUGACAUGAUGGGAAGAGCACUGAAUUGGGAGCUAUGAGACUGGGUACUUGUCCAUUCUGUUUCUAUAAAUUCAGGAUGUUUAACAUCUGUGGUCCCUACUCAUUACAUUGUGGAGUCUUCUAUGCUUAAUUCAAGUUUGACAUACUACAUUGGACCAAUUUGC